This 899-nucleotide long non-coding RNA is filed under the name Strongylocentrotus purpuratus (purple sea urchin). RNAcentral describes it as "uncharacterized LOC105446911". Lineage: Eukaryota; Metazoa; Echinodermata; Echinoidea; Camarodonta; Strongylocentrotidae. The record is from RNAcentral.
UGCACCUGAUCCACAAACUCUCCCUAAGAUAAUCAAGGGAGAUUUUACCUCAGUCUCCCUGGUUUUUCCUUCUCCAGUGCGUCUAUUGGUCAUUAGUUGCUGGACUCUCCAAGGUUAAUCAAGGCAGAAUGGCAAUCAUAUUCUCUGUGCACAUUAAGGCUGCUCCCGCGUAGGUACACGCGCGCAUGCAUAUCGAGACCUGCGAAAUACCGGACAUUUGGCUAGCGAGAGCCCCACGAUACCUGCAGGGCUAGUAUCACAGUGCAGUGAGCUAGAGCAACGGAGAUCAUGAGGCCUGACCCGCCUGAGCCCGGGGUGGCUGCUGUAAACGAACUGGGGUACUGGGUAGAUCCACUCACGAUACGUGCGAGAAGCAGUGCAGUAGACGGCAAUAUCUCAGCCAUCACACAGGAUAUAACUCUUCUUUGGAGCCAUAUGACAGACGUAUACAGCUGAAAUGGAAUUUCCCUUCAACCGUACAAUAUUUCAGGGCUUAUAUUUCAGGAAUCGGUGUUCGCCCAACGUAGCAGUUGCAGAAAAAGGACAACAACAAGUGGCACUAUUCAUGUAUUCCUCCAAAGUGCUCAUGCCAAUCAUGCCAUAGCUGAACUUUCCUGAAAGACUGAGUCAAUGAAAACUCUAAGACUUCAACAUAUGUGCAGCAUUUCAACCGAGAGUCAACACCCUCCAUUGUAGUGUUCGGCAGGCUUUUCAAUUGGAGUUUGGGCUGAUUUCAAUCGUAAUAAUAAUAAUAAUAAUAUUCAGUUCCUGUAUAGCGCAUGAUAUGUUAUGAAAUAACACCUCUAUGCGCUUCCAAAGAGCUUUGGAAAUGAUUACCCUUUAGCUCCGGCAGCCGUUAUCAGGAAUAAUCCUGCCAGGUACCCAUUUACCUCACCUGG